GAUAAGCUUUCACUUGGAGCCACCACCAAAAGUGGCAGUAGAAAGGGGAAGAGUUAUAAGGAGCAUUUCUGCUGAGGGACUUCAGAGCCUCAAAUGUCUAUUACAAGGAUAAUACUCCAAUACUGAGUUCCAAAAAGAUUUUUCUUCCUUCCCUGUACAAUAAACUAGUCAAUAAUGGUAAAUAGCUACACUAGCUUUUACUCUAGAGUCUUGCGUGUGUAUAUAAAAUCCCUCCGGAAAUAGAAACUGAAUUUUUUCCUGUCAGUUAUCGCUGUUGAUUCAUUCAGUUUUCAAGCAAAUGAAAUUGCAGGUAAAUAAGAAUCGAAAGCAUGAACAAAUGCUGUCAUUAUUUAUGACAUUGAACUUUUUUCUAUGCCUUUUGCCCUCAUGAUUUCUAUUUUUAAUGAUCACAAGGAUGAGCUGGCGAAGGAAUUUGCCAGAAUUUUCUUCUUUAAUGUUUAUUCCAAUGGAAA
RNAcentral lists this unclassified non-coding RNA (473 nucleotides) under Hevea brasiliensis (rubber tree). The record is from RNAcentral. Lineage: Eukaryota; Viridiplantae; Streptophyta; Magnoliopsida; Malpighiales; Euphorbiaceae.